UAAGGCCGCGGUAGGAAACUAACACAUCUCUCACUAGCUAAUCUGCAUGGGGCAAGAAUUUUUAGACAUCCCCAGAAGGGAGAUAAAAGGUUAUUCUAAAGACAACUGGACUUCAUACUUCAUGGAAUCUGAACCACUGCAGCGCACUCAGGGCACGUACUUCCCUCUGAUAGCCUAGGCCCCUAGUAAUUAUACCAUCUGUGGGGUCCACCAAGCCCCUGGACGCCUUGGAAAGACAUGCUACCCUUCCUACUGGCCUAAGCGAACAGGAUACCAGCAGCAGCUGUCCACCGGAAGCCACCAUCUGGUGCACAGCAGGUUAUGUGGCCAGAGAACAGUACCCCUGAUGGAUUGAUCUGCUCACCAUCACUGAAUAUGGAAGGGAGCCAGCAGCAUGCCUUGUGGUGUGCACUCUACUUGACCUGAGGUGACUUCCAUCACCUGGCCACCCCUCAUGGGUUGGGAAUGCACCCAGCCUGCUGGGAGGUGACCCCACCUCAGACCUGGCUGAACUCCGAAAGGCACAUCUGCAGCCUCUGGCAGCUUCUGCUGUAUCAUCUGCUUCCAAGUUGUGAGUUCUUUUCCCUGCCCGGAACCUGGAAACAAAGCUGCACAUUGUGGAGGAACAGAGCGAUUGUCUAACAGAAAACCCCAUG
This is a long non-coding RNA of Peromyscus maniculatus bairdii (prairie deer mouse), 656 nucleotides long. RefSeq lists it as uncharacterized. The record is from RefSeq and is a predicted model, not a curated record. Lineage: Eukaryota; Metazoa; Chordata; Mammalia; Rodentia; Cricetidae.